UCCGAGUUGACCCCGGCGGUCUCCCACGAGUCCCCGGCAUUACCCGCUGGCAACAUAGGACAAGGGUUGCGCUCGUUGCGGGACUUAACCCAACAUCUCACGACACGAGCUGACGACAACCAUGCACCACCUGCACACAGGCCACAAGGGAACCUGUAUCUCUACAGGGAUCCUGCGCAUGUCAAGCCCAGGUAAGGUUCUUCGCGUUGCAUCGAAUUAAUCCACAUGCUCCGCCGCUUGUGCGGGCCCCCGUCAAUUCCUUUGAGUUUUAGCCUUGCGGCCGUACUCCCCAGGCGGGGCGCUUAAUGCGUUAGCUACGGCACGGACAACGUGGAUGUCGCCCACACCUAGCGCCCAACGUUUACAGCGUGGACUAC
This 377-nucleotide unclassified non-coding RNA is filed under the name uncultured Actinomycetes bacterium. Its description in RNAcentral is "uncultured actinobacterium contains 16S-23S intergenic spacer region". Lineage: Bacteria; Bacillati; Actinomycetota; Actinomycetes. The record is from RNAcentral.